Molecule: non-coding RNA, 76 nt
Organism: Sinocyclocheilus grahami
Lineage: Eukaryota; Metazoa; Chordata; Actinopteri; Cypriniformes; Cyprinidae
Source: Ensembl
CGCUAAGAAGCUAAACAUUGGAUAAAGCAUUGGCCUUUUAAGCCAAAAGUUGGUGACUCCCGACCACCCUUAGUGA